CAGCCGCCACGGGAAUACGUAGGUGGCAAGCGUUGUCCGGAAUUAUUGGGCGUAAAGGGCUCGCAGGCGGUUUCUUAAGUCUGAUGUGAAAGCCCCCGGCUCAACCGGGGAGGGUCAUUGGAAACUGGGAAACUUGAGUGCAGAAGAGGAGAGUGGAAUUCCACGUGUAGCGGUGAAAUGCGUAGAGAUGUGGAGGAACACCAGUGGCGAAGGCGACUCUCUGGUCUGUAACUGACGCUGAGGAGCGAAAGCGUGGGGAGCGAACAGGAUUAGAGACCCCCGUAGUCCCUGUCUCUUAUAA
Molecule: ribosomal RNA, 301 nt
Filed under: uncultured bacterium
Lineage: Bacteria
Description: partial 16S ribosomal RNA
Rfam family: Bacterial small subunit ribosomal RNA
Source: RNAcentral